RNAcentral lists this ribosomal RNA (253 nucleotides) under uncultured bacterium. RNAcentral's name for it is "partial 16S ribosomal RNA". It matches the Rfam family "Bacterial small subunit ribosomal RNA", at positions 524 to 776 of the family's 1533-position model. The record is from RNAcentral.
UACAGAGGUCUCAAGCGUUGUUCGGAUUCACUGGGCGUAAAGGGUGCGUAGGUGGUGAGGUAAGUCGGAUGUGAAAUCUCCGGGCUCAACCCGGAAAUGGCAUUGGAAACUACCUUGCUUGAGGAUUUGAGGGGGGAUUGGAAUACUUGGUGUAGCAGUGAAAUGCGUAGAUAUCAAGUGGAACACCAGUGGCGAAGGCGAAUCCCUGGAAAAUACCUGACACUGAGGCACGAAAGCUAGGGGAGCAAACAGG